This is a long non-coding RNA of Rattus norvegicus (Norway rat), 35686 nucleotides long. RefSeq lists it as uncharacterized. The record is from RefSeq and is a predicted model, not a curated record. NCBI's taxonomy places the organism in Eukaryota, Metazoa, Chordata, Mammalia, Rodentia, Muridae.
CAAUGUCAUAAAGAUUUUUUUUUCUGUAUGUGGUAUUGACGAUGAAGUCCAGGUCCUAAUGUACACUAGGCAAUGCUCUACCACAGAUCCACACCACUGAGCCACACAACAGUCCUGCCAGGGAAAUGUGUGCUUUGCACCCUGACCUGCAUAGACGUCAACUUUUAGGUUCCUGUAUUUAGAUGUGUUUGCUGGUUUUUGUCUUUUGUAUUCCUGAGGAUAAAACCCAAGACCUUGAGCAUAUGACAAACGCUAUUUAUACCAACAUAUGUUUCAGGUCAAUUUUAAUUUCUUUGGUGGCACGUGGACAUCCCCGUCUCGAGAUACACAUGGUACACCUUUCAAACAUCUGCUCACAGACACACAGCAUUGGCAUGACCGAAAGUUCUGUCCCAUCCCAUGAGACCUACCUAAGAUAACAAUGCCUGGCAAAUAAAAGACCUCAAGACAACUGUCCAGAGUGUGGAUGAGCUGAGGCAUCAGCGCUAGCAAGCCUGGGGACUAGGGGAGCAGGUGAGAGGGGGGGACUUCACUCUGCACACAGCCAAGGUGACUGACUGAGAGACUGUCUGAAGAGUACAAGGCAUUUAGUCUAGGCUCUGCCCCACAGUCACCUGGCAACAUCCAGGUGUGUCUGACUCGCUAUGAAAGAUGCUGCUUGCCCCCUCCUUUCUCUCUUGCUCUUGCUUCCCCUCCCUCUCCCCACAUGUGCUCACGGCUGGCCUCUCCCCCACCCUCUCUCCUCCCCUCCCCAUGCCCUGAAUAAAUUCUAUUCUAUACUAUACCAUCGUGGGAUUGGUCCCUCAGGGGGAAGGGGUGCCUCAGCAUGGGCCCCAGAGGCAUUCCUUUCCCCCACACCUUACCACACCUCCAGCAAAUAUAUCCCUGCCUUUCUUAUCUUUUUAUAAAACACAACAGCACCCUUGGGCAGAAGCAGGUACUCUAACCACUUAGCUCUUGUCUGAGUCAGAUGGAGGGGAAACAGUCCCAAAAUUGGUUUGAGGUUUCCUAGGAGUGGGGUGCAAAGGGAAGACAGAGAUCAGAUGUGGAGCAGCUAGCCUGGGCAUGAGCCAGGGUGGGACCUUGAAUAAGAAAAGAGAAGCACUUGUCCUCAUGACUGCCAUCCCUUGCCUGGAGCUUCAAGAGAGGAAGCAGGGCGAGCUCUCAACAGAUACAACAAAAAGAUAAAAGUGCUGGCAGCUGCCGGAGCCAUCCAUCCCUGCACCAGCAAGUGAUACAUUGUAGCGUUUGGGCCAGGAGAACACACAGCCCAGCUUUUGCCAAGGCUGACAAUCCUGGGGUCCUGGGGGAAGGACAAGGCAUCCUUGCAGGAGAAACGUGAUGGUCAGCAAGACCUCACGAGACACCGGCUUCUCCAGGAAGCAAGCUCUGUCUGCCUUUCCCCAGCCUGCCACUGCAGUGGCCUGGUUUGGGGCCAAGAGUUUGGAAGCCUCUGGUGAGCCAGCAGUUCCCAAGUGGCCGCAGGUCACAGCAGGGGAACAGAUCUAACUCUCAAGGCUCCCAGCGUUCCUCUUGUAAUGGAAAUAAAGAGGUCCUUAGGAUAGGCCUGGAUCUCUCAGCACUCUUGUCUUCUACAAAGAGAUUCGGACAGACAGGGACAUCCAAAAAGUACUCUGGAAGAAGAUGCUACGUAGCUUCAAGCCAGCAGAGCAGCCUCAGGAGGGAGCAUCUGAACCAACGCCUUCCUCUCCCAUUCCUAAACCCAGAACUGUGAGACGGAGAGGUUUCUGUCUCAUCUGUCCAGCCCAGGGUGCUCUGAUACAGCAGCAGACACCGGCAAAAACACAGGCAUUGGGGCCAGCCGGGAAGUAGUCAUGAUAAGUCUAUGACUGUCACUAUCGUUUGUUGAGGGGACUGUGACAAAAUGUGUGAGGAGCAGAGAUAUGAAAGGAAGCCCUUGCGGGGAGGGGCAGAACUGUAUGAAGGCUAUGUCUUACAGCCUUUGGCCUCGCUGAGGCCUUCCUAAGCCUCCGAGGGCCCAUUUUGAAGGGUGGGGGUUGCAGAGGUGGGGGCUGCAGGAGCCAACAUUCCCAGCCUGUGCGUGAGGACACAGCAGGGGAUACCUCUGUGUCUGUGUCCAACAGCUGUGACGCGGAGUUUUAAGAAGCAGCUUCCUCUCUCAGUGACCCAUGAGAAUUUCGCAAGCAGGGCGAGGGCAUAGAUUUGCCUAGAAAUGAACAGUUUGACCCAGCCUCAGAGAAAAGACCAGAAGGCUUCUUCUCCACUUAUUUGCAAGUGCUAUGAGGCCCUAUUUUGCUCCUUGCUUGGUUGGGGCUCAGUGCGGAUGAAACAACUGUCCCGUGGCCGGGAGACAGGAAGACAAUCUGCCAGCGAAAGGCAGGUUCGGGGGACAUUUUGGUGCAGACGAAGAAAUGCAGGCACAUGCACAAGGAGGCACUCAAGGGCCCUGGAAGGCUGCCCUGUGAUAAAAAUAGCUUCCAUUUGGCUACUGGGGCUUGAAGAUGCACCCACCAUUCCUUUUGUAGUUAAAAUGCCUUUGUUCUUCUGUUAAACACAGACCCCCUUGGGAAGAAUGUUCCCAGAAGUCUGCUACCUCCCAACCUCUUAGCAGAACCAUUUAACCAGCAAGGAAAUGCCAGCUGCACUUUAGUUGGGUUGGGGACAAGAGAAACAGCAGCAAAGACUGUGGGCAGAACUGUUUUCUUCUCCGCUCUGUACAUAGCUUAAAUCAAACAAUGAGCAAAAGGGGAACCCCAAAGGUGCAGGCAGAAGCUGGCCUGUCUGCUCCUCGGACAUGCACGGUUCUGCACAUCAGGAGCGGUCCGUAGCUGGGGCCGAACCCUUCGUUAUGGUGGAAGGGGUCUCACCAAGGAUGCGUGUGUUUGGCUUUGUCACCCCUAUGUCCUCAGAGCAGAGGGAUCUCCGUGUGUGUGGUCAUCAAAGUAAAGGUCCUAAGAGAGCCUUUAUCUUCUGCCGGCUACCGCCAUGUUGUUCCCCUUUCUGGUUUUGUGUCGGUGGAGGAAAGUCUGAGGCUCAGCAGGAAGGUAAAUGACCCAUGUUACUUUCUCCACUACCAACCUGGACGUGUGGUAAGCCACCAUGGCUGCCUCUGACCCCCGUGUGCACAUCUCCGCUCUCUCCCUGGCCUACAUCACCAGGCACAGUUUGUCUUCAUAUCAAGGUAUAAUUUUGGGGGCAAAAGAUUUAGGGGCCAAGGAGAAAUCUGGUAUAUCUAACUAUGCCGUCCAAAAGACUGCCCCUCCAUUUCUGCUUUUGCUAUUGUUUCAAGGUGAAUGGCUGGGUCUGGAGAUACGGCUCGGUGGUGGGCCGCCUGCUUAGACUGUGAGAAGCCCAGUGUUCCAUUGCCUGCGUUAUAGGGGGUGGGGAGGCAGAGGAGGAGGAGGAGGGCCAAAGGAAGAAGAGAAGGAAGAGGAAAGGGAAGAUGAGGAACAGAAGGAGGAAGAGAAAGAAGAAUAAGAGGGGGAAGAGGAGGAGGAGGAAGAGGCAGAGAAGAUUGUGGCUUGUCGCCUCUGGUUCAGAACUACCCCGGCAGAGUUCCCAUCCAGAUGGGAUUCUGGGUCUUGCUAAUCCCAGCUGACCAAGUUCAGGGUGCAGGGACAAUUUUCUUCUACUCUCGGGCUUGACGUGACCUUGGACACUGUGCAGUGGUCCAUCUGUAAAAAGUCGUGGCCAGUGAGGGCAGCAGAGGAAGAAACCAUGAGUGGGACCAGCACAGAGCAUAGGUCCAAAAUGCCCCCGUGAAAGACGCAUGUCAGAGGUGUGAAAACCACCACCAGAAAGUUGAGUGAGGAGCGUUGGCAGCGCGGGCAUCGUAAAGCAGAAGUGGGGAAAGAGCAGAUGACCUCGAGCCUGCCGCUAGUACCCAUAUGGCCCAAACCCCUUCGUGCCUUAGUUUCCCUUAGUACCGACUGGGGUGACGGCAGUGCCUGUGUCGUGGGAGUCAAUACCAAAAACACAAGAAAGGCUGACAUGUGGUUUCACCCAUGGGGUGACCAUGGGUGACCAGGGUCACUAUCCUGGUAAAGACAGUGAUGGGGUAGGGCUGAGCCAUUUCACUGCCAUUCCUUUUUUGGGGAAGGGCGGGAUAAGCAUUGCAAGGUGCAGAGAGAUAAAUUCUGGCCAGGCAAAGAGAGGUCUAGCUAGAAUGUGAGAGUCUGUCCUGGCUUGGGAAAAAGGGUCUUUGCAGAUAUAAUUAAAUUAAGGACCGAGAGGGGCUGGAGAGCUGGCUCUGUGGUUUAAAGCACUUAAUGAUCUUGUAGAGGAACUGGGUUCUGUUCCCAGAUUCUAGUCGGUGGCUCAGGGCUGCCUAUAACCCAAGAUCCAGGGGAUCUGAUGCCCUCUUCUGACCUUUGGGAGUUCAUUCCUCGUGCAUGUGGUGCACAUUUGCACAUAAACCCAUGCAAGAAUGCACACAUACACAUAAAAAUAAUAAUUUUUUUAAAUGAAGGAGCUAGGGAAGAGGUCAUCUCGGGUAGGGUAUCCCUGAACCCCUAUUAUAAAAGGAAAGGGGCAGGAGCUCAGAGAGGGGGAUGCUACCCUGCUAUAGAUAAGGCAGGAGGGCCCCAGGGUUGUAGAGAGAGGCUGGGCCUACCCCAGUCUGCUCACAGCUUCUGAGGCAAAUUCCCUGCCCACUCCUCUGUUUAGACUCUGGCCCCUUGGAAUGGGGGACCGUACAACCGUGUUGCUGUAUGCCUCCACGUUUGUGGUCAGUUUCAGGAAAGCCUAAAGACACCGGUGUAGGCAACGUUGUGGGUUUCACCUGUGAUGGAAACCAAGAAAGUGCUGUGUUAGAUCGGCAUGUGACUGACUGCGCCCUCGGUCACAGGACAGAUGCUUGAAUCUCCUGCUUUCAGAGAGUCGGCGUUCCUAGGCUUGGCUUUGCAUGUAAUUGGUCAUAUAUCGUUUCCUGGUGUAAUCUGUGUAGCAUAGUGGGGUGUGAGUGUCAAGGUCAUCUGAGGUCAUAGCCAAGGCAGAUCACUCACUCACAAGGGUCUGAUGAUGGAAACACCAAGAGCCUUAGAGGACCAAGAACCCCAAGGCCCCAGGGUCUAACUUCAGGCUGCAACUCAUUGGCCAAGUGACCUUGAAGGAGCCCUGGCAAUUCUCAGGUCUUGGGUUUCCAAACCAACAAAGGGGAAAGAUUUGGCUCUAGACUCUCUGGGGUCUCUUCUGCUAUGACAUCUCAGGGGUCUCUGCAGCUCCCCUACCCUGAGACAAGGAAGGAGAGCUAUGAGGAAGAAGAGGGUGUAUCCGACUGGUCCUGGGCGGUCCUGGGCUGUGUCCUCCAGCAAAGUGCAUGCUGUACAGGAAGGUGGGUAAGGGCGCUGGCACAAGGCUGUGCCCGUCGGCCAUGGUGCACUGCAGUAGCAUGGCGGUAUCCCAGGCAGGAUGCAGACUGCAGUCUGCAGAGGCGCCCCUCCUGGUCUCUUCCCUCAGGACUGGAGCAGAGUUGGUGCAAUUGUUUCUACUGAGCAGGUUUUUUUUUAAAAGGGGCAAGUUUUACUUUUCCUUCCUGAAUGUAUGCACUCGUGUGCAUGUGUGCACAUGCACGUAUGCAGACAUCCACACAUAAGCACACUUUCUCCUUCACUGUCCUUUCUCAUACUCUGAGUUUAUAAUGAAUCUAAAACCUGAGAAUACCUACUUCCCCCUCACCCUCUGCCAUCUCUCCGUGUGUCUGUUCUGAGCGUUCCCCUGCGGAUUCAUAGCAGGAUGAGCUAUUUAACCAUAUCUGCAUUUAAAGUGUAUUCUCUCCUGGAACUUUCUCAAUUAAAUCCCUGCCUCAAUCUUAGAUGAUAUUGACUCACACGGAGGCAGGAGCACAAACUCCAGAAACCAAAGACUCCUCAGGGUAAAAGUGGCACUUAGUGGCCCUCCUUCCACAUCUCGUGUGCACGCAAGGCUUUAGUUGUUUUUUUUUUUUUUUAUUUUUUUUUUUUUUAUUUUUAUCGAGAAUGGGAAAGCAGGUGCUUCCAGAACUGUCGAGAAUUUGCUGGUGGGUAGAGAGGAGCCGUCUUUUUUCCCCCUCUGGGAGAAAGCGCUGAGGGCCACCUGUCACUUGUCACCUUUGCCUCAGCUCUGAACACGAAGCUCCAGGAUUCCAAAGGAUCUUCCACCCUCCCUCCUCUUCAUCUCCAUCUCCAGCAGCAGUCUGCAACUUGCCAGCCACCCCAACGGUCCAGCAGCUGAGCAGGAGAGAGAGAGAGUCUGGGCGUCUGCUCCCCACCUGCAGGGCUGCUCCAAGCUUCCCCUCCACAGCCUCGUCUCCUUGCCCACCCAUCCUCUGCAGAGGACCCGGUAAGUAAGCUGAUGUCGGGGACAGCUGGGGUUUGAAGGAGAAUUUGGACACUGCAGCUUUAAGAAUGCCAAUGCCGUACUGCGAAAUCUUUCUCCUUCAAGUGACUGCAGAACCUCAGCAGUGGCUGCAGUGGGAGGAGGUGGCUGGAGGUGGGGUGGAGGGAGAAGAGGGGUGCCCACUCCCGGGUGGGUCAGCUCGUCGGGUACCUUGUCCUGGGAUGCACUCGGCCCCGGGCGAACCCAAAACACAAUCGGGCCGCACUUUCUCCGCUAGUUUCUUUCUCACGCGCUGGGGGCGGGGACCCUGCGGACUUCCUGAUGAGUUUGGGCUCAGUCCUGCCCCGGUGCAUGUCAUCUGCCGCCUUGCACAUGUGGCACGCUGGCUCUUUAAGCCAUGUGCAAUGGAGCUGGGGAAGGCUGGUCUGAGCUGUGUGAUCUUCAGCAGAGCUUGCACCUGGGGAUGCAGAGUCAGCCUUCAUGGCCUUGCUACUGGGCACGGCCCGGGGUGCAGCUUUUAUUUUUUCCUGGAUUUACUGAGAGGAGCGCAGGAGGGAAACUCAAAAAGGAUGACUUGCUCUUCCUGGAGUAGAGGCUUCGGUGUGAAAGGAAGAACGAAACCCCUUUGGCUGACAAAAAGUACCGACUGGCGGGCGCUGGGAAGUGGGGGAGGGGCCCCACAGAGAGUUCCCCUAGAUGGAGUCACCCUGCACAAAAAUGAGUAGAAAUGCACUCUGGUUACGGGUUCUUUCUGAGAAAGGUCCAAGCACCCCGAAACACCCGAGCUGUGUCUCUGGUACCCAGACUUCUGUGUGCCCAGCCAGUGUGUCACCCCAAAGCUGAGGUGCCAGCUGGCAAAGUUCCAGGCUGGUACUGCUGGCGUGGCAUCCCAGACACACAGUACUUGGGUCCAGGUCUGCAUUGGGGGUGAUGUCACAAAGUGCCAACAUCUGUCUGGCACUGAAGGACUCGGUUCCUUGUGAUUCCUCUUUCGACCGGGGGGGGGGGGGGGGGACCCUAGGUCUCAUAAAACUUCAGUUCAAAAGCUAUGCAGCAAACCUCUCAGAUAUAAAUUACCCGGGCAGCCUCUGAAACAGCAGUCCGAGUUAACUGCUGAACUGGUGGAGGGAGGUGACCUCCAUGGGUGCUUGCAGGGUGUUCUGGGUCUGUACUCCGCAGGGGGCUGCUGGCGUGCACCAAGCGCACACUGUGCACUGCAGUCUUCAGGGAAGUGUGCACCUCUAGACAAAUAUUUUAUGGGGAGUUGGACCGCAUACUUAUCCUGCCUGGAAAAGCAGUAGGGGUUGAGCUCAGACCAUUCUUAGCUCUUUUUUUUUUUUUUUCCAAAAUGCAUUCCCUGUAUAUCCAAAACUGUCUUUGAUUAAUCAACAUUAAUCAUUAAUUAAUCGACAACUUUAAUUCUUAGGUGCGAUUGUUUUUGAGCCAGCCCAAUGCAUCUGAACAUGUCAUUAGAGUCUCCAAUUUUUUUUUUUAAGAUCAUUGUCCCAUACUGCCUAAGAUGGACCUUAUGUCACUAGGCCUGAUUCUAGCUUGUCCUGGCUCCGCCCACAACCCCAGAAUUUGCUGGGGCAUGUCAUUUGGCUCUGGACUGAUCAUUCUCCCCCAUCCCUGAGAUGGACAUCUCUGUGACCUCCCCAACCUGGGGGAGGGCAAAAGAAUGAGGCAGGUGUGCCCAGGCAAACAGUUCUCCAGUCUGUGCCUCCAGGAGGCAGGAAUGACGAAUGAGAGCCCUUUCUGUGGGGAAUUAGCCAAGGGAGAAGCCUGCAAUAUCAGCUGCAGGGCAAAUGCUGUCAGGGGUCCACUGGCCCCCUAAAGGGACAUCAGAUGGUACAGGGACUUCUGAGGGGAAGCAGGUGACCCCAGGGCCUAGCACUCUGAUACUGCUAAGGCCUGUGAAAGUAACAGUACACACCGACCAGGGCUUCUCUAAGCAUCUCACUGCAAAAGGUCUGGCCUUAGACAGGCACUGUCAGAGCCAAAGUGACCACACCAAAGUGCUUGGAGGGGAAGUAUACAGGCAAGCUGGCACAAUGGCUUCAGAGAUAGACAGGGAGGGGGCUGCUGGCCCUCUGCCUCCUUAGACAGCUCUAUCUCUCAGUAGCAGAACAGAGAGCCACUGCUGAGAGGGGAGAUGAGUUGGGAGAGCCCAUGUCGCCAAGGUUUCUCAAACAAAAAUUCCAGGGCAGGUAGGGAUAACCUUCACAUCUCCUGGGACCCCUACAAGAGACAGCCAGACUUGGGGGAGGGUGCCUCAGAUCUCAUGGCCUUGCUUCACCCAGUGUUCCAAGUGGAGACUUAUAGGGCUCUGAGUAGACCUAGAGCUAGUGCUCUCUCUCUCUCUCUCUCUCUCUCUCUCUCUCUCUCUCUCUCUCUCUCUCUCUCUCUCUCUCUGCAUCAUCUAGAGUGCUCAGAGAGUAGUGAAUUACAGUACAGCGACGCUAAUGAGGGGAAAUGGGGCGAGCGCAGUAUCCCUGAAUCAGGUGGGGGGUGCAGUAAGAUGCUAAAACCAGUACACUCUGGUCCCAAGGCAGAGGGAGUGUGCAUUGGCUCCCGGGACACCCAACUGCACCAGCGCUGACUCAGGGCCCUUUUCUCCAGCUCUUCUACCCUAGCCUUGGCCAGCCAAGCCCUUGAAGCUAGAUUCUCCCAGGCUUCUUGCGCAGGGGCAGUUGGAGCCCAGACUGCUGCAGGCCCUCCUCCCCCCACCCCCGCCCUCCCCUCCUGGGCCAAGUCAGCAGUGCUGACGGCUGCGGGGCUGCAGCAGCGGCGGCGAUGCAGAGACCCUGCACCACUGCUCAGGGCGGGCGCAGUGCUCUGCCCGCACCCGCGUCCCGACGGCCACCUCCUGGCGGCUGCGCGUAGCCCGCGCCGGGUAGACCCUACCGGACGGCGGCGCUGAUUGGUGCAGCGAGUGAGUCCCUGGCUUUAUUUAGACCACCUUUUCUGGAAGACAAUACUUCACUAGAGUCGAGGGCUGGGGGCAGGAGGCAACCCUCCCCGGCGACGGGAGGAUGAUAAAUGAGCAGUUCUGUGCCUGGUGGCUGUUAACUCCAGUGGCUUUGCGCAUCCUCCGACCGACCAUUUCCACAGCUGCUUUGCGACUGCACACCCAAGUGUGGGGCAUGCUUAGAGGAAACUCCAGUGGAGAACAAGAAGACCCUCAGAAGGGUUAGGAGGGCUUGGGACCAGACCGGGGAACCUGUGUCCGGGCACCGGUUUUGGAUCUUCUGCUCUGAGACACCAGCUUGGAAGACAAGGCUGCCUUCUUGUUUGGGGGGUAAGGAUGGUGUUUUCAACUAAGGCAUCUGAUAGGUGAGGCGAAGGGACCUACUGGGACCCUAUUCUUGAAUGUUCUUCUUUGGCUUCUCUGGGACAGCCUGUGGCAAGAAAGGCUUGGAAGUGGUGGGCAAAGAUUUGCGCGCCCCGCAGCAGCGUACCAUUGGCAGAAGGUUGAAGUUGGUUGCGAAGUCCGGUUUCCUCUGCAGAGGGAAAGGAACCCAGUGAAUGUGGGUGGGGUCCAGAGCCUCUGGCCCUCUUGGGUGAGAAUAUGGGCUUUAGUGGCAGGAAGCAAGGCCUGGAAACAGAGAGGGAAGCCUCAGGGGUUCAGGAGGCAUCUUCUACCCAGAAUUGUAAACGGUGGGGAAAGUAUUUGGGCAAAUAGCUUGAAAUUGUUACUCAGGAGCCCAUUCCUGGUCUCCCAGGCAAAGCAGGAAGUCAUGGCAUGCUGCACACCCUUGAGCUGGCCGUCGUGAGACACUUCGGAGGCUGGGCCUCUCUGUCCUGGACCCCGAAGUUCACGCGGGAAGACAUAUUGCCCUGUGUCCGUCUUUUCCAGCUUUGGGUUGAGGGUCUCCUCCUCCCAGGCUGCCCUUGAGGCCUGCAUUGUGCUGGGGGUUGGAGGAGGAGGAGGAGGGAAGUUGGGGAGAAGGUACUGAGUUAACCAAAGUAGCAGGGCCAGCAGACCCCGGUGUGUCUGUGCUGAUGUAAUCAGUUUUAGGGACUGGUCAGGCCUGUGGCUGUCCCAGAACUGACACCAGGGAUCCCUCUUGCUCAGCCCAGGACAGGACAGCAUUGCGGUUGUGUCUCCCUGCCAAGGACGCAGGGUGAGGUGGCUCUCCAGAAGAGGUUUACCCUUCAGGCAGAACCAAGUGGUCAGUCUAGGGACUCCGAGAGUUGACAGCUACAGGAGGUUGGCUUCCUCCUGACAAUGAGAUGCUGGUGGAGGUUACCCUGUGAAGAGGCAGCGCCCAGACUCUGGGAGUCAGGCAGAGGCAGGGGUCACAGGGAAAGAUACUAAGUUGCUAAUGCUAUCCAAGGCCUGCAGUACUUCAUCUGUCCCUGGUCAGCAGUUUCCCCACUGUCUGUCUUCUGCAGAUCUGACAAAGGAUCAAGCUUUGUCAUUCUUUUCAUGCACUUAAACUUUAACCCCCAGGGCCCAAAGCACAGUAACUUUGAGACUCUCUAGACUAAGCCUCUGGAAAUUAUCCACCCAAACUCUGAGCUGAGCUCGGAGUGGAAGAGAGCUCCAGAGGAGAGCUGACUUUCCCAAGGACACGGAAGGCUCAGGGCUGACCUGAGAUCAUCAGCGCUGGACCCACCGGGUACCCCGAUGGUGACAGAGGACAAGGUAAAGAAACUGGGGAUCUGGAGGGGAUACAGGCGUGGGAGCAAGGCUGGGUGAAUACGAGACAAUUCCGCUUCACUCCCUUUGAGCGCCUCUGCAGCGCCCCUGGUUUACAACUGUCACUGGGCAACGUGCCAAGGGGAGAAGCCAUUCUGCUGCUUUUAUAGUUCCUCCUCUGCAAUUCUGGAAAAUCAGGGCCACUUGGGUCUGGCGGCUCGCUGUCUGGUUAUUGGUACUGUAAUUCAGACUUUGGCCAGCAGGUGGCUCCCAAGGACACGGUAAGGAAAUGGAACCGGCGCUCCGCCCGGCAAGCCGGUUUCCAAGAAAGGGGUUUUCAGUUUUCCAUGGUCCGGUGAGUUGAGGCAGACAAUAGCUUUCUUUCUUUUUAUUUUUUUCUUUCAAGAACAAGAACAAGAAGUUUGCUUAGAAAUAUCUGGAGCUGUUUGAUAUCUGUGUCACCUCCUGAGUCAUUUUAUUUUUGCGAUGCAAUGUGGUUUAUUUGUGGGAAUUCCACCGCGGUUCUUAGAGCCGAUCUGACCUGUCAUUUGUGCAUUAGCGAUUACCGGAAAUUUAGCAAUAUUCCCAAGAAAGGUCUAUCAUUCUAUAGAGUGGCCAAAGCAGGUCCUGAACUCAGCCUCUGCCGAGUUUCAGGGGCUCUGUAGACAUCGUGCUUGCAGAAUAUCAAAAAGACAAGCAAGCACUGACGCGGACAGGGAUCAUCGACCAGCUUUAGUGCCAUUCUUACCCCGUCAACUUCUCCUUCAAGGAUCGAAAGAUAUUUCUGUCUUUGGCAAUAUCUGUUGGGAGUCUCAGCUCACUUUUGUAUCCAGAGAGGUCCCUGUUUCUUCCCAAAUGGUUCCUUGUCGCUAACUCGCCUUGAUGACCUUCAGAGGUGAAUUACUGCAAUCCUCUAGGAAUCAGCCCAUUUGCUUAAAUCAGAUUGUCUUGCUUCCCUGUGAUAAAACACUCCUUACAGACUCCAGUGUCUGCGUUAGAUGCUCGUGUCUUGGUCACUUCCGGUUUAGGUCGAAGUGGGAGUCUGUAUUCUAUAGCAACCUGAGUGGACUGCAGAUGCAGAGAGCUGCCAGACCCCUGCUGAGAUCUAGGUGACCUUGACAGGGUUACAGAGAAUCAACCAAGAAACUUAGAGCCACCUUAUAUGUGACCAAUAAGCAAACCAGUUUUUAUUUUUACUUGCUUUAAAAAUUAUUUUCAUUCGUUGUUAGAGUGUUGUGUGAGUGUGUCAGGGGGUACUCGUGCAUAGAGAUCAGGAGAUGAAUGGCCGGAGUCAGUUCUAAGUCUUCUAUCCAGUGGCUUCUAGGGAUUGAACUUAAGUAGUCAGGUUUGGUGGUGAGCACUUUAGGCCAGUUCCCUGGCCCUGUUUAAUUCACUGAUGGUGCAAAAUCAUUACAUUUUCUACAGAUUGGAAUUCCCCUCCCCCAUACCACACCCCGAACCAGUCCCCUUGGGACAGGGUUUCAUACUGUGUCAUCGGCUGCCUGGCUUUGAACUCGAAGCAAUCCUCAGGAUUUCAAAAGCAUGCCUCCCGAGUGCUGGAAUUACAGGUACGAGCCACUGACACUCAGCUGUACCCUCUUUACAAUUCAGUUUAACACAAAGAAUGUACUGGCAGCUGAGGUUGCAUUUCUGGAUUAGAACACUUGCCCAGCCUGCACAAGGCCUUGGGUUCCAUCCCUAGACCUAAAUAAAGAAGAGAACAAAGAAAGAAUAAUCGGUUGACUAUCUACCGUGAGCGAUUCAUGGGAGUAUGAAAAAGGUAUGGGAAGCAAGGUCUCCAUGCCUUUAGAAGUCAACAGGAAGGGUGUCAGUGGUUCGGUAGGCAAAGAUGCUUGCCAGUAAGCCUGGUGAUCUAGGUCUAAGCUCCAAGAUCCACAUAGUGGAAGAGAAAGGACUCCCAAAAACUGUCCUGUCAUCCCCACACUCACAGCACAAUAGUGCCCCCACAUUCAUACUAAACAAACUCAUCAGUAAAUAAAUGUCAGAAAAUAUUUAAGUCAAUGUGGGAGGAAGGCUAGAGAUGUAGCUCAGUCGAUACAAUGUUUCUCUGGUACGCACAAGCUCCCAGGUCAACCCGGGUGUACAGAGGUUGGUGAACUGUUCCUCUAGUCCUAGCCUUUGAGAGAUUGAUGCAGAAGGAUGGCGAACGGUCUUGCUUUCCCUCCACAUGCUAGGCUGAGCAGCUGGGAUGAUAGGGCCUGAAGCAUCGUGCCUGAUGGGAGCCUGAGACCGACCUGGUCUGUCAGCAAAGUUCAAGGCCAUCAUGAGUUGUAUAGUGAGACUCUUGCAAAAAAGGAAAACAGACAGGUCACAAGGGAGCUCAGUGAACUGCUACUUGCCUAGCUCCCACGAGGCUCCGGGGUUGAUCCCCCACUCAAAGGGGCAGAAUCCAUAGCAUUGCACUUCCUCACGAGAGAGGAACAAAGACCAGGUCACAGGAGCCUCUCCGGAUGACAGAGCUUCCGGGUAGCUCCUGACUUUUCCUUCUUGGUCCAUGUCCUGGAGAGGAAGAGUUGCUGGCUGACAGGAAUCCCAGGGCUCAGCUUCUCCUUCGCACAGCUCCUUUGGCCAUCUCUGUGGUUGUGUUCUUGGGCAUCUUGUUGAGAGGCUGUCUGCUAUGGGUGAAGUGCUUCUCCCGGGCUUGGAGUGUUUUCCUUGCACUCUGAGUAAAUAGCACAAUUACACCAGGCUUCGGCAGUGUGUGAGCAAAGCAUUCCAUUUCAGUGUUUAAAUCAUGCCUUUCUUUUUCUAAUGCUAUUUUGACAUUUCUAUGUAACUAGCAUCUCAAGUGCCCCAAGAUAUGACCGCAGCCUCAAUGCCUUAAUGCGCCUCUCCCCAUCACCCCCAGUCUCCUGUUUGGGAUCCAAAGGUCAGCUUGUCCUGCGGUCAGAAUCUUGUAAAUGGCCCAUUCAAAGUCUCUGAGAGUCUAGGCUGCCCCCAUAUGAUAGGAUUUGUGUGUGUGUUUGUUUAAGACAGGGUUACAGUACGCAGCCCUGCCUGGCUUGGAACUCACUAUGUAGACCAGGCUGGUAUUGAACUCACAGAGAUCUGCCUGCCUCUGCCUCCGAAGUCCUGAGAUUAAAGGUGUGUGAAAUCAUACCAGGCACAUUUUGGUUAUUUCACAUCAACAGGCCUCGUGAGCAGCUGCUUCUAAACACACAACAGGAGUCAGAUGGCCUAGCUCGUGAUAAAAUUAUACAACGGAGCUGGGGGUGGUGGGCCUUUGCCUGCGAUUCGAGCUACCCAGGAGGCUGAGGCAGGAAGACUAAAAGUUCAAGGUCACCUGGGCAACUUAGUGAGCGCCUAUCUCAAAUUAAUUAAAAAACAAAACAAAACUUUAGAGGGCUGGGGAUGUAACUCAGUGUAAUCUCCAGUGGAGAGAGAAUUUGACUCCCACGUGGGAGACUUGGGUUUAAUCUGCAGGAAAAAUAAGAACUGUGAAAAGCUUGGAGCCUGUCUGUGACGUUCCUGCUGUCCUUGACCCACCAGCCACCCAGACCAGACCAACGGGUUCGCAAGGAACCCAGCUGAUCUUACUGAGUCCCUAGAGCCCACCUGUGUCACCUCUGAACCAACUCUCAGUUCUUCUGAAAGGUUAACCCUUCUGUCAGAGACACCAGUCUAUAUUCAUAUCGUUGUUAAAGGUGCAGGGUCCUUCGGUGGCCCAGGACUGCAAUCCCUUAAGGGAAAGCAAGGGAAGGCAUCCCUCCUGGGGAGAGAAGGUGGAGAUGUAUGACCUCUUGGUGGAGGCAGGACAGAGGUAGGAGCUUUGACAGUCACCACAGUGUGCCCCUGACCUUGAACUGCUUUAAUCUUCCUAACUGCAUUGCCUCUUUGCCUCCUUAGCUUCCAGUGACCCAAAGUGGUUUCUGUCCCAACACGUUCCCUCACGGUGAGAGAGACUCAGCUUCAGCCGGAAGCCGGGUAAGUGUUCCUAUCUCUUCUGGCCAGGGAUCAAUGCUUUCCAAGUUUUCUGACAGCAUAUUGAGCAGCCUUUCUUCUGGUAGAAGAGGAGGUGGGGCUCGGCCUGCAGCUCCUUGUAUGCUGGAAACUCUGUAGCAGAUGGCUGUGAGCAGACAGGAUAGCAGAGGCAGGACAGGACCUGGGUGGUUAUGAGUCGUCCCUGCAGGAUCCAUGUUUGGAAGUGUCUCCGUGGGGGAUCUUGCUCUGUGGAACGAUCCCCAGGCUUGUUCUGUGGGUCUAUAAUGUCCUUUAGAGUGGAUCCCUCUUGGGGGGGCCAGUCUUUUUUUUUUUUUUUUUUUUUUUUUGGAUCUUUUUUUCGGAGCUGGGGACUGAACCCAGGGCCUUGCGCUUCCUAGGCAAGCGCUCUACCACUGAGCUAAAUCCCCAACCCUGGGGGGGCCAGUCUUCAGCUGAGCUCUGAUUAGUAAGUAACCUAUUUCUGCCCUUAUCACCCCUGCAUCUCCCUCCUAACCCCCCCACUCCAGGAUGUUUUUAAAACCAGGUUGUCCCCCUCUGUUGUGCGUGGGUCGCCUUCCCUUUCCUGAGUAAUGGGGUGGACUCCUUCGGGUACAUACACGAGAAAUCAGGUGUCUGCACUGAUGUUUAAAUUAGAAGAGAACUAUUUUCCUUCUAUGUCCCUUUGGAGAAUUGAAAUGAGUACUUGGUGGGGCAAGGGCAUGGCAUACAGCUUGAUUGACAGAGCAUUACUGAGCCCUGUUCUGAGCCCCAGGUUCUACCCCAAGCACUGAGUAAACUUGCCCAGCAACCCUCAGGAAGUCAGGAGGAUCGGACAUUUAAGGUCAACCUCAAUUACACAAUAGGGCAGCCUGGACCAUAUGAGGUCAUGUGUCAAAAAGAAAAAGAAGGCUAAGCGAGGUGGCACAGGCCCGAGGUGGUGCAGGCCUUUAGUCCCAGCUCUUGGGAGACAGAGGCAGGUGGAUCUCCUUGAGUUCAGACCAGUCUGUCCUGCAUUUCAAGCUGCAGGAUUGUAAGAACUGAAGAGAGAAACCCUGUCUCAAACAAAAUCAAAACAAAGCAAAACAUAACAAAAUGGAACUGAAAGGGAAACCUGAGACCAGCAAGACCAUUCAGGGUGAGCGUGUUUGUCACCAAGCAUGAUGGCUGGAAUUCAGUCCCCAGAAGCCACAUGACCAAGGGACAAAGCUGACUUCUACCAGUCCUCUGACCUCCACAUGUGGGCUUUAUAAAUAAGCAAGUAGGUGGGUGACUAUGCUGCCCUGUCUGUCACUGUCCCUCAAGGAAGAGACCCUGGAGGGAGGGAGGAUCUAUGUUCAGGGUUACCACAGUAGUGCCAGCAAGAUGUGCUGCCCAUUCAGGGAAGACUAAAGACUGGAAUGAAAGGCUGAGAUACUCCAUUGCUCACAUUACAGAUGAGAACACUGAGGUUCAGGAAAGCUGAAUAAUGUUUCAAAGGUCACCAUGAAGCAGGUCAGUGGGUAGAAGGAGAGAACUGACUCCCAAAAGUUGCCACACACCUCCAAGUUGUGUUCUCCCUCUCUCUCUCUCUCUCUCUCUCUCUCUCUCUCUCUCUCUCUCUCACACACACACACACACACACACACACACACACACACCUCACCUAAAUUAAUUGAUUGAUUGAUUGAUUGAUUAUGUGUAAAAGGAAAGGAAGAGAGGAAGGAAGGAAAACAAGUAUGCCAGUGCACAUCUGGGAUCCCAGCUCUUGGGAGGCAGAGGCAGGAGGAUCAAGAGUUCAAGGCCAUCCUCAGCUACAUAGUGAAUCUGAGGCCACCUGACAUUUGAAACUAUGUCUCCAAAAACAUCCUUCUGUUUUUAAGAAAAAGAAAGAAAGAAAGAAAGCAGGCUUAGAGUUAGUUGGGGGAAGUUCAUUUGGGGUUUGACUCUUGUGAGACAAGACCUCAUAGGAAGGUUUUUCACAGAGGAAUGGUGUGGACUGCCCUCCUGUAUAUAUCACUCCUGAUGCUGUGUUGAUCAUGGACUCUGGUGAGCAAGGGUUGAGUGACACCAGGUAGGACAUCAGGCACAAUCAAGAGCAGUGGAGUAACUUGGAGGAGAUUAGAAACAAUGUGUGUGUCUGGAAGGUAGAGGAGUCCUGAAGGGGGUCUGCUUUGGGUGGGGGCAGCAGGCUGGGCUGGUGGAUGGGAUAGCCUGUGGUACAUGUGUAUCUGGAGCUCUGGCAGGAGGGAGUUGCUGUCUUUGGAGCUGGGGUGACCCCAGAGGUGUACCAUGUGUAAGUUGGGGUACAGAUGGGACCUUAGCUUUGUGCGUGAUGUUCCUCUACAUAUCCUGGGACUUUGCACAGAUAAUUGUUAGAGCAUAGGGCGUGACUUUGGGUGUCUGUGGUUAAAUGUUGCCGAGAGUCCAGAGUGGACAGGAUUGUUAGGGCAGAGAACAAUGGCCAAGCCCAGGCAUCCUCCAACUGCAUGAGACAGGAGAGCAGAGAAGGAGCCUGCAGAAGAGACCAGUGAAUGACAGGAGGCACUGCUGAGGCCCUGAGAGGUGGCUGCAAAGACCAGGAAACGUGUGCUGUCAGCCCUCCACACCAGGGACUCUGAACCCAUGGUUGGAUGAUUGAUAGAGAGAUUCCCUCAAGACAUGGACAAGACAUAAAUAGGACAGACAAGGAUGUGUUGUUUAGGUUUUUUGUUUUCCUUUUUCCAUUCUCUCUAUGGGUGUUUGUGUCUGUCUGUCUGUCUCUGUCCUGUCUCUCUCUCUGUCUCUCUCUCUGUGUCUGUCUCUGUCUCUCUGUCUCUCUCUGUCUGUCUGUCUGUCUCUCUCUGUGUGUGUGUGUGUGUGUGUGUGUGUGUGUGUGUGUGUGUGUGUGUGCGUGUGUGCGCAUGUAAGAAACUGAGGCAGACACUGGGAUUCAUCCUCAAAGGCUCAGUGAGGCAGGGCCUCUCAAUCAAACCCAGAGCUCACCAACACGGCCAGCCUAGUCGCCCAGAUUACUGUGGGGAUCUCUUGUCUCUUCCUUCCAAGGAUGGAACUUCAUGUGGGCCAAUAUGGCGACCCAGCCUUUAGGUGGGUUCUGGGGAUCCGAACUCAGGACCCCAUAUUUGGGUAGCAAGUGCUUAAUCACCACGCUGUCUCCCAGCCUAUGGGCCAUGGUGUUGUUAUUUUUGUUUUUUAAGACAGGGUCUUUUUAUAUAACCCAGGCUGGCCUGAAACUGGCAAUCCUUCUGCCUCAGAGUCUCACGUUCUGGGAUCACAGGACAUUCCCCUCACACUAGGACUUGGAGCAGCUUUAAUGCUGCCUGCCUAAACUCAUUAGACAUGAAAUUAAGAAUCACUCAGGCUUAGGGGUUGGAGGAGGGCAGAGUCAGGACCACAAGGUGAAUGGCUGUUGGUCACUGAUCUAUUCGAUCUGUGGACCCCAUUGGUUGGGUUGGGGGUUGGCGCUGGCCUCCACCAUGGACUUCCUGCAGAAAAGACUUCUAGUCCCUGGUCUAUGGACCUGGUGCUAAUCCUAUGGUGAUCAUGUGAUUGACAGACCUUGAUGGCCAGCUGCCAGACGCGAAGACCCAUCAGUCCUUAAAAAUAAUCCACUAGGGGAAUUAAGGAAGGCUCAGCGGAUGGCACAUAAAUGUAAGGACCUGGUUCAAACCCCAGAACCCAUGAGAAACAGAUACAGGAGAAUUUCAAAAGCUCAGGGUCUGUGUAGCCUGGCAAACAGAUGGUAGGCUGUCGCUGGUUGUUCUCUGACUUGCCUGAGAUGACCCAGAUUUCACAUACAAGAAUGUAUACACAUGUGCACACACACACACUGAGAUACACACACACACUGAGAUACACACACACACACACUGAGAUACACACACACACACACUGAGAUACACACACACACACUGAGAUACACACACACACACUGAGAUACACACACACACACUGAGAUACACACACACACACACACUGAGAUACACACACACACACACUGAGAUACACACACACACACUGAGAUACACACACACACACUGAGAUACACACACACACACACACUGAGAUACACACACACACACACACACACACACACACACACACACACAGCUUGGUUGGUAGAAUGCUUGCCUAGCAUGCACAGUCUUGGGUUCAACUCAAAGCACUGCAGAAACAGGGCGUGGCGGGGUGCAGAGGUCGCUCAGUGGUUACAGCACCGGCUGUGCCUACAGAGAGAGAGCCUGGGUUUGGUUCCCAGCACCCACAUGGUGGCUCAUAACAUUCUGUCACUCCAGUCCCAGGGGAUCUGAUGCCCUCUUCUGACGUCUACAUGCAUGGUACAAAUUUGGUCUGCAUAUAUAACAUACAAGCAAGAAACUCACACAGAAAAUAAAAGUAAAAUAAGAUAAAAUAAUAAAGCCGGCAGAUGGGCUGGAGAGAUGGCUCAGUGGUUAAGAGCACCCGACUGCUCUUCCAGAGGUUAUGAGUUCAAUUCCCAGCAACCACAUGGUGGCUCACAACCAUCUGUAAAGAGAUCCGAUGCCCUCUUCUGGUGUGUCUGAAGACAGCUACAGUGUGUACUUAUAUAUAAUAAAUAAAUAAAAUCUUUAAAAAAAAAAAAAAAGCCGGCAGAUAUGGCCGCCCACACCUACGAUGUGAGAACUCAGUAGGAAGAGGCUGCAGGAUCAGGACUUCAAGGUCAGCCAUCUGAGAGGGAGGGAGUUCAAGUACGGCCUGAGCUAAAUGUGUCUCAAAAACACAACAACAACAACAACAAACUUUCUUUUCUUAAGGAAAAGGAAAGAAUCCUUCCUUCUUUAUGUUAAAUUUCGCUGUCUGGGCUGUAAUCAAGCACACUGGGCUUUUUAUUUUUAUUUUUGUUUUUUUUUUGUUUUCCUUCUGAUUGCUUCUUUGAUGAAGCCUUUAUCCAAACAGGCUAUCCCAAUUUACUUGAAGAAAAUAGAGCUCUUUUUUCUUCCUCUUUCUUUCUUCCUUCCUUCCUUCCUUCCUUCCUUCCUUCCUUUCUUUCUUUCUUUUGUUUUUUGGUUUGUUUUUUUUUUUUUUUUGAUGUUUUGUUUUUCAUUUUUACAAACAAGACAAAGUCUUUCUAUGGAGCACAGCAUAGUGGUCCUCCUGCCUGGGCCUCCCACCUUGCCCACAGGUAGCACAGAAGCUCCUAGGAGAGCCUGGAGAGGUCAAAGGGCAACUUACAAGACUUGGUCCUCUCCUUCUAGCAUGUGGGAUCCAGGGAACAAGCUUUGUUUAUCAGCUUUGCAGCAAGCACCUCUACCCCCUGAGCCAUCCCGUCAGCUGUAGGGAUUGUAUUGAGCUGCAGAGGCAGCACAUUCGAUACAGAUUAUCGGACAGGGAUUCGUCUUGACAGUGCACUUAUUGGUGAAAUAACUUCCCAUCUAUCUACUGACUGAUGAUCAAUUCUGUCUUAGAACGAGGUGCUCCUUGGUGCUUGAUCAGAGAAAGGUUGGUUUGACUCAGGAGCCACACAGAAGCUUUAGAAACAGGCAAGUCUGCAGGAACUUAGGGCUCCCGGAGUCCAGGCGUUCAGCAGGCGGUGCCGGGGAGCACAAUGAGAACCGCUUCUUCUGUUGCUGCGGUUUUUAAUCCCGUGGCGAUCUGUCUGCCCAAGUGUGGCCUUGUUAUUCCCAUACAAGGCCUAGAGAAUUGUGCUUGGUGUUAGCCAAGGGUCUCCACGGGCUCCAGAGACUCCUUGGAGCAUCCAUCCCCAUGCCACACGUACACAUGCAUGCACACAUAUGCACACAAGGACAUAUACUGGCCUGUGCCAGGGUCCACUUUGGGGCAGUAUCCUUGGAGUCCUCUGGGAAGGGAUGGGCUGCCUGGGUCUCUCGACUCAGGGCCCCAGCAGAGAUCAGGUGAUAGGAUGCCACACAAGGACAGCUUCUAGGUCGGGGGGAGUGAGUGGACUUGGAGGGAACCAGCCAAGUUGGGAAGAAAUGAUGCAAAGACUGCUUUGUUCCCCUUUCCCUUCUGAUGCUGGGAAAGGAUUCAGGGCCUCCUGGUGCUGGACAAUAUGGUACAGUUAAGGCCCCCUUGUUCUUUUGUUUCAAUCUUUGUGUAUGUGAAUGUGCAUGCGUGUGUGCAUAUGUAUGUUUGUAUAUGUGUGUUUACCUCUGUGAGUGUGUCUCUACAUGUCUGUCUCUCUAUGUGUGUGUCUGAGUGUCUGUGUGUCUGUGUCCUAUGUGUGUGUUUGAGUGUGCGUCACUCUGUGUGUGUGUGUAUGUCACUGUGUGUGCGCGUAUGUGUGUCUGUCUCUCUAUAUGUGUCUCUCUGUGUGUGUCUCUCUAUGUGUGUCUGUGUCUGUCUUUCUAUAUGUGCCUGUCUCUCUAUGUGUAUCUGUGUCUGUGUCUGUGUAUGUCCUGUGUGUGUGUGUUUGUGUGCCACUGGGUGUGUCUUUCUAUGUGCGUCUGAGUAUCUGUGUGUAUGUCACUGUGUGUAUGUGUGUGUAUGUCACUGUGUAUGUGUACACGUGUCUGUCUCUCUGUGUCUCUCUGAGUGCCUGUCUCUGUGUGUCUGUGUAUGUCGCUGUAUGUGUGUGUGUCACUGUGUGUGUGUCCCUGUGUGUGUAUGCCAUAGCACAAGUGUUGAGGUCAGAUAACAACCUCAGGUCCUCAACUUCCUCUUCGUCUGAAGCAGGGUCUCUUGUUUUUGCUGCUGGCUUAAGAACUUGCAGGGGCUUCUCCUGUGCCUGCCUCCCAUCUUGAAUAGCAGCACAGGAAUUACAGAUGUACACAACUGUGCUGGCUUUCCACAGGCCCUGGGGGCUCUCACGCCUGCACACAAGGGCCUUUCCCUCCUGAGAUGAACUUGCCUUAACAUCAACAGAUACACUGUGGCAAGGGUAGUCACAAAACCAAAUGUCUUGGUUUAGUUUUGGCUUACUGUUAUAAAACGCCUGAGUCCAAGGCAACCUAUAGAAGGGAAGGUUUAUGGUUCCAGGGGGACAGCAGUUUACUACUGUCACAGCAGCUAGGAGAGUGGGAGCAGGGAGUGUGGGCACAGGAACAGCCAAGAGCUCACAUCUCAGAUUGUAAGCAGGAAGCAGAGGGAGGGAACUUGAAGCUCUAUAAACUCUCAAAGCCCAUCUCUAAGUAACUCAGUACUCCAACAAGGCCACAUCUCCUAACCCCUCCCAAACUGGGCUACCAUCUGCCCACCGAGCAUUCAAAUGCCCCAGACAGUGGGUAAUAACAUAUACAAAUCACCACAUCGUGAGAACACCACUGGUCUUUAAUUCUAGAACAUUCCCAGCCUCCUUAGAAGAUCCUUCUCUACAUACAAGAGAUCUUGACAAGACGUCAGUACUCCCUGGAUUCGGGGCGCUCUGGAUGACUUAGAUCUAGAAACAUCUGGAACACUUUAUAGAUCAGGUUAGAGAGAAAAGAAAACAGGGACCUGACCACCUCUGGACAUCAGCAGCCAUAUAGGAGAUGCUGAAGAGUCCUAGGACACUACAAGACGGCUGUGUCUGGGGACGAGGGCUGCUGCUGCUGGGGGCUCAGCUGACAUUGUUGAUGCUUCUCCGAUAUUCCCUCUCUCCAGAGACCUCUGCAUGGGCAGUGGGGCUCCAAGCGUGGGCUGAUUUGUAUUCUAAGCCAAACACCAGGGAGAGGUAGAACCAAGCUGGGGGAACAGAGGCUAUGCAAAAGCAGUUCUUAGCCAAGCACAUUCCUGCCAUCGCAGCUUUCGGGGAGCUGAGGCAGGAGGAGCCGAGGCAGGAGGAGCCAGAGUUUAAGGCUAGCUUGUGUUACCUAGCCUCAAAAACAAAACAAAAAAGAAAGAAACAAAGCAGAGGGUUGGGGAUUUACUUGUGAGCAGUGAAAAGGCCCCAGGUUUGUUUCCCACCAUACGGGAGGGGGGGAAUUUGUAUACAGUGACAUCAUAAAGAAGAAAAGGGGGCCUCUGAGGAUGGAAAAGUGGGCAGGAAUCAGGCAUUUUUAGUUUUCUAGUUGGUGGAAUCUAGUGUCAAUGCAGUGUGUCUGUCUCGUGUGAGCUGCCCACACCAAGGCGUUUGGUGGCUCUCAGAGAAAAGUAGGAUACAGGAAAGCCAGUGGGAAUGGAACACCCAGAUUCGAAUGCUCCCAUGGGUCUGUCCCUGUGGAAUAGAGAAUGACGGUCCUUCAAGCUUGUGACAUAGAUGAACAGGUGGGUGCAUGGGAACGUCUGUGUCUGGUACUUAACUGCAGUCCUUAGGACACUCCACCCCCAGCGCAGAGCACACGUGUUCAUUCGGUUUUUCUUCCCACCGUGACAAGUGACAAGGGCCGAGUUUUACUUUACUGGUCGUCACCUGGGAAUUAGAGAGGACCAGGGGUUAUCUCAAACAGAUUCUUUGAAAAUCUCCAGGGGAUCUAUCUAGUGUUACAAGAGCCUCCAUGGGGGAAAGGGGUGUGUGUGUGUGUGUGUGUGUGUGUGUGUGUGUGUGUGUGUGUGUUUGAACUCAUUAGUGCCCAAGGUCACACAGUGAGUUAGAAGGGGACCCCACGUUGGCUGUCCACAAAACCUCGCCCUAUCUCUGUGUGGUGUCACACCCCUUUAAACUCAGCACUCAGGAGGCAGAGGCAGGCAGCUCUCUGUGCCUUGGAUGUCAACCUGGUCUACAUAGUGAGUUCUAGGCCAGCCAGGACUCCAUAGUGAAACUCUGUCUUAAGAACAAACACCUUUCUGAGAGCAGCCUCCAGAGCCCACCAGCCUCCUUUGAUAGAGACCUUGAAGACCUUCAAAGAUUGGGCUCCUGCGGUGACAAUGAGGGUGUAGAAUUUCUACCUCCCUCAGUGGCUGGGUCUGCCUGGUAGAGCCGAUUGCCGUUGCAUAUCUGGGCUCACUGUAGGUUUCUUGAGAUGUCCCAGGUACUAGAAGUCUGGGGAAAGAGAGGACAUAGAGCAUCUCCUCCUGCAAAAUGGGGACAGCUCGUGUGGCCACUGCUCACGGGUCCUUGCAUGCUGGGGCAGUGUUUGCCUCUCUCUUCCUCAGAGGAACCCCUUUUCCUUCCAUGAAGGAGGAAUGGGGUUUCUCCCUCUCGCUUCAGAGAACUUUGUUCUCGAGACCAGGGACAGCUUCAGUAUCCGGGUUGUGCUUGGCGCCCACGCUCACCACGGGGCCCUGCUGAAAGAGUGAAUUCCAAGUGCGUGGAGGGCUGUGGAUGACGUGUAUGAGUGUGAGUCUGUCAUGGAGCUAACCACCCAGGGCAGAGAUUUUUAUAACGGGAGCCUUGGUGAGCCUGUGCCUUAAUACCUGGGCACAGUGGACCCGAGGGAAAUUUGUCUCUGGAACAUCCCGGCUGAGCCUAAGAUCUAUACUGGCUGGGAACAGGAUGAUAAGUGGAGUUCCCUUUACCACAGGGCAAGGAAGUCUUCAGGGCUGUCCACAGUGAGCCUCUCUGCUAUCCCACAAGGGGGUCCUGUGCCAUAAGCAGUGGAUAGAGAAGAAGGCGUGAGAAAUGGGAGGCGCGUGCCUGACUCGCAGCCCAGACUCCUCCCCGCAGCUCUCGGCUCCGUACUUCUGUCUGAGUUAGUACAAAAGCCCUGCCCCACUCGUGGUCUCUUGCCCUGCGCUCCCAGCUCAAGAGCGCCAUGCGCCCAGCACGUCUUCCUCACUCCGGGGAUCAGCUCACGGAGUUUUAAAACCUACCGAGCUGGGUCGCCACAAAAUCCCGCAGCGCCACAACUUGGGGAAACGGUGACGGAGAUGUGGCCACACCGACCAUCUAAAGCGACCCCCAACUCCGAUGAAGCCUGGCUGGAAAGACGCGGCUUCCAUCCUGGGAGCCUGGAGGAGAAUCGAGCAGUGGCUAUUGCCUGGGCUUGCCUGGGCUUGUUCAGACAGGACUGCUCCCCUCGGUGACUGCACAGAUUGGGGGCUUUGGGAGACGUUGCCAGAAUCUGGAAGCCAAGGCCGGGGGCUACAGGGGCCCGGGGUCUGCGCACCUGCUCGCCGCGGAGCUCAGGAGUGCGUCCAGACAAACAACUUGACGGAGGAAAGCAAGAGAAAUGUAUUCGCUCGCAGUUCUGCAAGCCAAAAGUUUGAAACACAGCAGCGUCCACCCGUCUGUUGUCUCUGUGAAGGGAUCCCGCCCCAGCUUCCGAAGUCUGCCUGGGCCUGUGAUCCAGGGUCUGGUGUGGGAGGAAGGCAGAAGCCUGACUAUGAGGACAGAAGGGUCAGAAUACUAGUCGGACUACCAGAACCUGCCCAGGUACUGCCCCAGCGUGGAGGACGGCUGCUGGAACAAAGCCUAGUGUGUCUGUCGGCUCCCCUUGGGGUAGCUGAGCAAAGGUGUCGGCUUUGAGUUGCGGCUUCAUAAAGUGUUCCUCGGAGACAGGCACACCCUGAAUGAUGCCUGAGACCUGCUGGGCCGCUCCCAGCCACAGGCAGCUGCCUCCUGUUGCUAUGUGAAUUCCAUCAGGGUUCUCUCUGCUCCUUUCUCUGCCCCUCUGCUACCUUAGGAAAAAUGGGGGGUCUGGGGUCUGUAUUUCCGGUUUGAGUUUUACAGUUGGGAACCCACCCUGCAUCUACUGGGAAACCCUCCGUGUGCCUCCAGCUUCCUCUUUGGGCUCUUGCCUGCCGGUUCUCUUCGGCUGACUCUCAAAGACUCCCCUUCUUUGGACAGCUCAGAAGCACAUGGUCAGAACCCAAGUGACAGACGUCCAGCUGGCUUCAUCGCAACUGCGUCUGUGACCUUCCACCCAGACAGGGCUGUGUGUUGUAGAUGCUCCCCCUAUGCCAGGCACGGGGUGAAAGGGAAGAGAAGCGAAAUCUGCCUGCUCAGACCUCUUGAUCCUGGGUAACAAGGAAAUUGCCCUUGAUGCUCUCAGUCUAGGGCUCCGCCCCCCAGCUCAGCUAUGCCAAUCAGCACCUUGGUGAAUCCACCAAGCCAAGCCAUCCCCUUAACAAACCAGCAGCCCCCAAGAAUUCAGGGCUUCUUUCUGACAUCUAGGAGCAAGAGGGACAGAUGGACCCUGUGUGCUCACAGCAGAGUUUAGGAAGGGGACCCCUCACAGCUGAAGGCGGCCUCUGUGCUCCUAGAGGCAGCUGACCAUGCCUUUGCCCGUGGACAGCGCCGGGCCCUGUGGAUUCCAGGGUCUGGAGUAGAGCCAGCCAGCCCAUGGAUGGACAGUGGAACUGCUUUCUCCAAAUAGCUGCCUACAGAGAUAGAGCAGCCCUGAGAUUUGGCCCUGAGCGUGGCCAAGCACAGCUCCAGGCCCCACCCAGCCUCACCCAGCCUCACCCCCAUGACUGACUGGACAGGCCAGCAUGCUCAGGUGUGGAGACUGGGGGUUUUCCUCCCUCUCCCCCCUUCUCCUCUCCUCUCUGUUCUCUCUUUUCUCCAUUAGCUCUUGGAUUAGCAUCCAGAUGACUCAGGGGAGGCGGUCUGGUGCCUGCUUCCCUGGGCAAAGGAGCAGCGGUGGGGAGGGACAAGGAACAGGUGAGUGCACACCUCUGGAGGGGCCCAGGUAGGUGCUGGCAGCUUGCCUAGCUCCUAGCAGCUGUGCUAUGCCUGAGGGGGCAGUGAGCUGAGCAUGUCAGACAGGUGGAGCCAGGCUGCCCGUCCCAGACACACAGGUCCUCUCUUGGGUUACUGAACAGGGAAACACCCUUUCCUUUCCCCCACUGCCUUAGUUCCCUGGCACCUCCAGGGACCACUUCCAACAUCUGAAGAGGACACUGGAAGCGGAGAACGGGUUGCGAAUUCGCUUGGAGAGACCCUGGUUGAGUUCGAGUGUGGAAACACAAUCUUGGCCUUGGAGAAGCACUUGUGGUUUUCAGGCCCUUGGUUCUGAGAAGCCGAUCUCACAAGGAGCCCAAAUGUUUAGUGACAAAUUGAGGGGACAGGUCCAGAAACCUUAGGGAGGUCUGUCACUGGAAGAGAACUCUGGAAGAGAAGCUUUAUUGGGUAAUGUGAGCUUUUUCCUUCCGGGGGAGGGGAGGCUGCCUCUGCUCAGUGACAGCACCUGGCUUUAUUGGGGUGACCCUCUUUGGUUUCUGUAGGGGGGAGAAGGGCUAGACUUCCUCAAAUACAACCAUAAAUUACAGACACUUACUGGGAGUGGGUUCUCCUCUCCUCACUGAAGGUGGGGCCUCAGCCAAUCUCGGUUUCUCCAGACGGUCUCUGGUGAACUCCUGUCUGAGGAUGGAGGGCAGAGGGGGGUGGUUGUAUCAGCUGAGAACUAGCUCAUGGUGCUUCUUCCCCUGAAACCAGAAGGCUGUGUCUACCUAGACAAAUUGGGGCUGUGUUUACUGUCUCCUCUCUGUGGGCCACGCCCUCUUUGCCGGUUGGUCUCACGGAGCAUCUCCAUCCACAGGCCGAGUUUCGAGAGAGAACAGCCUCUUGGGAAAGCACCACACUGAGAGCAGAGGUUGGUUCCUGGUUGGUAAGUUUGGAGUUGUUUGUUUGUUUGUUUGUUUGUUUGUUUGUUUGAGAGCAGGGUCCUACUUUGCAGCUCAGGCUGGUUCGGAACUUACCUGGUAGCUUAGGCUAGCCUUGAACUUGUGACAGCCUCCCUGCCUCAGGCUCCCAGGAGCUAGGAUUACACCUAGGGCAGACGCGAUCAAAGCAUGUCUCGAAUGGUCAUGCUGCAGACAGGGACAGCAGUGAUUUUUUUUCCCCUUGCUAAAUGAGGACUUUAUUUUAUUUUUUUCAUUUUAUUUUAUUUUUUUGAGAUUGGAUUUAAGCACUUUGAUCCUCCUGCCAUAGCCCCCCAAAAUAGUUGCAUGUCAAGUAGACGGGUAGGCAGACACCAUUGUGUCUUUCCCCAAAGUCCAAAGGCUUUCCCGUACAUCCCAUUGGCUAGAAUGACACGUCACGCCUAGCCCCCAGCCUGUCGGUGUGGAGGGAAGGGGUCACCAACAGUUGUGUGAAUAGUGUGAGCGCAGGUUCCCAGAAGACCAGGAGAGGUUGUCCCUAUCCGCUGGAGGUUCAGGUAUAGGUGGUUGUGACACCGACUGGCAUCAGAGCUGGGAACCGAACUUGGGUCCUCUAGAAGAACAGCAAAUGCUCCUAACCACUGGGUCCUCAAGGUUUUGCUUUUUAGGGUUUUUUUUGGGGGGGAUGGGGGAUGGGGGUUAGCAUAUGAGGUGUUGUCUCCUCUUUGCAUCUUCAUACUCAUGUGUCUCGUUCAUUUUCCCUCCCCCUCCCCCUCCCCCUCCUCUUCCCCUACCCCUCUCUGUUUUUCUUCCUCCUCCCAGUCAGUCUCCUUCUGCUUUCUUAUGUCAUGAACGCCACGACUACCUCUGUUUCUCCCUUAAGAUCUCUUCCUCCCCUCUCAUGAUCCUCUAUUCUAUCCUCAGGGACCCUGCCCCCCAUAGAGACGCAGAUUUUAAACACAGGUUCUACAUGUAAGGAGCACGCAGUGCUUGUCUGGGUCUGGCUGGUUUGGCCUAACACCACGAUUUCCAUCUUCUGCUAUUGUCCUGAGUUCAUUUUUCUUGAUGGCUAUACAUAAAUUCCAUCCUGGAAAACCAAAUCCCAGCACUUGGGAGGCAGGCCGGAGGAUCUCUGUGAGUUCAAGACCAGCCUGAUCUACAUAGUGAGACCCUGUGUCAGAUGUAUACAUCCAGCAUAUAUACAUACCACACUCUCUUUAUUCAUUUCUUUCCCCUAUCUAGGAGCAUCUGCGCUGGUCCCACUGUCUGGGUAUUGUGAAUAGGGCAGCAAUGACCAUGGACGUUCAAAUGUCUCAUGGUGGGGUAGAAAGUCCUUUGGGUAAUACCCUUAGGGUAUGUGUCUGCGUCAUAUGGUGUGUCUAUAUUUAGUGUUUUUGAGGAACCUCCAGACUGAUUUCCAUAGUGUCAGCUCCCAUUUCAUAAGAUACUUUUAACACAAAGGCAGUCUCAAACAGCACGAACUGUUCUUAAUCCCUCGCCGCCCAGAGAGACCGUUCCUUCCCGUGAGUGCCUUCUCUCUCUUCCUCUCCCAUUCCUUCCUCUGCUUUCCUUUGCUUCUGUUUUUCCUUUGAUUAACCGUGCACUGUUGGCUGCCACAUACCCCAUCUGCAAGACCCAGUGAAGACUGAGGCUGUUCCGAUGGCUCAGUAUUAAGAGUACUUCCUGCUUUUGCAGAAGCCCUGGGCUUGGUUCCCAGCACGCAGAUAGUCCUCUUCCGGCCUCCAGAGAAGGGCACAUCUACAUUCAAUACCCAAAAUGUUUCGAAAAGACCUGGUAAAGGAAAACAUGAACUCCUGAAUUCUAGCAAGGUUGGCAGUUGAGUCCCCAGCUCCACCAGAGCAGAGGCCCCAGGCUGCAGCCCCAGAAGCCAGGAAGUCAUGGGCCAUUGACCAGGGCUUGCCUUGGUCCAGUGACAGGCUCUGAUUAUCUUGCACACAGCUCCUGAUGUGCCUGAGCCGGGCAGCAGGAAAUGGUGGUGCCUCCUCGGAGAGGGUUUUCAUUGUCUUUAUAUGAGGCUCCUGGCUUGUCUGGGGCUCCCUAUGUGCCUGAGGUGGCCUUGAACUUACCUUCAACUUCCUGCCUCUGCCAUCUGAGUCCUGCAUCAUGGGCAGAUGCUGUCACAUACUGAUCUUACCCUGAUAUUAAUAUGUGACUUUCCUGCAUGCAUGUCUGUGUACCACAUGCAAACCUGGAACCUGUGGAGGUCAGCUGAAGGCAUCAAAUUCCCCUGGAACAGAAGUUAAAGAUGGUUCUGAGCCACCACAGGGGUGCUGGGAACUGAAUUCAGGUCCUUUACAACAGAUGAAUGUUCUUAACCACUGAGCUAUCCUUCCUGCACCACUAAUGUUUGAGGUUCAAGACCUCCAAGUCAGCCCUCUUGAGUCCCAUCUCAGAUACUACUGCUCCUGAGUCAAGCUCCUCCCUGUUGUCUCUCAGGGCGGGAAGAGAUCAGUUACAGCAGUGGACCUAGGUCUCAGCACCCUCAGCCACGAUCCCCAUCCCACUCCCCAGACAGCCUUUCCAGUAACAUCUAUGCAAGGACAGAGCAAUGUCAUUGGCAAAGCCCAAGAGGAUGUGAGGAAUGUGGUCAGAACCACAGUGACCGUCCUCAGCGCUGUCCUCCGUUCAAGUUAGGGGAUUCAAGCUCUUGUCCUUGUGGUUCCCAGAUCACAAAUAAAAGAACAUUGCUUCUUAGAGAAGAGAAGGCCACGGCCCGGCCUCACCCCCAUCUCUUUUGUGAACGUGGUUUCUUUUCUUGAGGCCACCUCUGGGACCCCAGCUUGGCCAAGCCUCACUAGAGAACAUUGACAUGGCCUCUGGAUUCCCACACCCUAGGCAGGGGUGAGGUGAGGUGGGGUUUGUGGGCUUUUGGUUUCCCACACAGAUUGUGCCAACAGGGCUGUCUUGCUGGGGCCAGGUGACUGCCACAAGGCUCCUCCCAUGUGUAAAGCUUUUGUUUUGCUUUGCCAUUUUGAUUGUUUUUAAAGGCAGUUUCAUGUAGCCUAGGCUGUCCUCUGUGUCUUCCAAGCACUGGGAUAACAACUAUUAGAAACCACAGCUCCUUUCUAAAAGCUUUUCAUUCAUUCAUUCAUUCAUUCAUUCAUUCAUUCAUUCAUUCGUGUUAUGUGUGUGCACAGUCACAUAUCAGAGGUCAGCUUCUUGGAAUUUGAUCUUUCUAUUUAUCAUGUGGAUUCCAGGGAUCACGUUUAGGUCGUUAGGCUUGGCAACAGAGUCCCUUACUGUAGAAGCCGCUGCUGCACACCGCUCCCCCCCCCCACCCUUUGGCCCCACUUCCUAAGACACAGUCCUGGUAUGAAGGCUAGGCUGGCCUCAGACUCAGGCUUCUCUUGCCUCCACUGGAUUCUUGGGCUGUAAUCUACUGUGUCGGGCAGUGUUAUGUCAAGUGCCCUUGGAGAGGUGGAAAUGACACCACAUCCUCCCAGCCUAAUCCUCCCUAGCUGGGUGGUAGCAAGGGAGUCAGCUCAAAGGAGAAUCGGCGGCAGCUCCAGAUAGUGACCAGCAUGCGGAGGCACAAAGUGGGGCUGGCGAAGGCAGAGCCACUGCGAGCCAGUCAAGCUGCUAAGGGCCUCUCUCACAAUCCCCUCCGUCUUCGUGCGCUAUCUAUUUAAGUUCUCUAAGACCAUUUAGUGCUGUCUAUAUAUUGCAUUGAUAUAGAAUCAUCCACUGAAGACAAUCCUUCCUGGACUGUUUCCCUCAAGUCUGACCCCGCCCCCAGCCCAGCAGACACCAAUUGCCAAUCGCUCCUCAGCUAGGGGCGGGACUUCAUGAGCCCCGCCCCAGUCCACGCGGAGUUUUUGGCUGACUUGACCUUGUGGAGGUCUUAUGAGUACAGUCACAGCCACUGAGUUCCUGUGUGCACUGGCCCUGUGGUGUGUGGCAAAUACUGUUUCCCUGAAGACAUUUGUUACCUUCAACUCUUCAGGCCCCACCCCCUUCCUAGAGGACCGCCAAGCCUUUAGGGUGGGACACCACAGUCUUGUUCUCUGUAGGAAGACAACUUGUGAGUCUCUGUUAACCGCUGUCUACCACAGAAAGCGGCCUCUUUGCUGGGGUCGAGGGAUGCACAAAUCCGGAUCUGGACCCUUUUUGUUUGCAGUGCUGGGUCCCCUGAGGUCCCGCACCUGCCAGGCAACGGCUCCAUCAACUGAACAUUAAGGCAGCCGGCAGGUAAUGGUCAGUUUUCUGUGUAACUGGGGGCGGAGUCCACAGGCAUCCACCCGAACACCGGCCUAGGAGCCGCUUCCUGAGUCACUGCUCUGAAGAAAAGAGUGCACCCUAUCCUCUGACAACCAGUUGAGGAACCACACAAGGUUUCCCCGGAAGAAGAAACACUUCCUGACCGGCCGCACUGGUUAUUUGGGUUUGGUUGACGGCAGUCAUUGUUGUUUUGCGUUUCUUUGUUUGAUUACUGCAGGUGGGGAUGGGGUGCAUGUCAUAGCAUGUGUGUGUGCAGAGUUCAGAGGACAGCUUGCAGGAGUCAGUUCUCUCCUGCCAUGCAGGUUCUGGGAUCUAACUGAGGUUGCCUGGCUUGGUAGCAAGUGUCUUUGCCCGUUGUCUGCUGUCCCGUCUUACUGGCUCUUUUUUUUUUUUUUUUUCUUUUUUCUUUUUUUUUUUCGGAGCUGGGGACCGAACUCAGGGCCUUGCUUGCUAGGCAAGUGCUCUACUACUGAGCUAAAUCCCCAACCCCGCUCAUUUUUAUUCUUAAAGAUUUGCUUGUUUUUAUGGUGUAUAAAGUGCUUUGCCCGAUGUGUAUAUACUAUGUGUGUGCCUGGUGCCCCCGGAGGCCAGAAGAGGGUGUCAGAGGCUUGUAAGUCCCCAUAUAGGUGCUCAGAACUGAACCUGGAUCCUCUGUAAGAGCAGCAAGUGCUCUUUUUUUUUUUUUUUUUUUCCGGAGCUGGGGACCGAACCCAGGGCCUUGCGCUUCCUAGGUAAACGCUCUACCACUGAGCUAAAUCCCCAGCCCCAGCAGCAAGUGCUCUUAACCGCUGAGCCUUCUCUUCAGUCUCACCGUAUUGUCCAGGCCGGUCUUGAACUCCUGGCUCAGCCUCCUCAUGGAAGCCGGAAGGCAUUGCUGAACCCUCCUGGUGGUGCUGCCCCUCCAGCUGAACCCUGACUAGUGUGCCCUUUGUGGGUGCUGGGAUGGGGAGGCACUGACGUAGGCUGCUGCUUCUCUCCUGUGCUAGCAUGCUGGCUUCCAGGUGCUGGGGGAGUCUGCAGUGCCUUGGUAGGGUCCGCUACACGUCUUUCUCCCACAGCCUCUCCAUCCUCUUGCAGCUGCAGGCACCUCAGCCUGGGCCGGCCGGCUGUGAGUAAUUCUUUGGCAGUGUCUUAGCUGGUUGUUGUGAGUAUUAGCUAAGGAAGCAAUCAGCAAGUAUACUGCCCUAGAAGUGCUGCACGUUGUUAGGCCAAGAAGGAAAAGUCAGCGAUGCCCAGACCUCCGAGAGGCGCCAGGACUUCGGGAGCUGCUCUACCAUGCUGGUGAGUAAGGGUUGCUGGGAGAGGCUGGCUUUAGCACCCCAGGGGGAGCAUGUUUAGGGGUUCUGAGUGUCAGGGGCAGGCACAGGGACUGGGAUGUGAGCCACUUCUGGCUGAGAAAAGUUUGCAUGUAGGGGUAAUAAUUAUAGCAUGUAUGGAGUGUGUGUGGUGUGUGUUUAUCCUCCCAGCCAAGCAACCGCCAUCUUGGGGCAUUCAGCUGUGCCCCCUUGCAAAAGGAUUAUUCCAGCUGGGCUUGUUGACUGUUUUCACUUCCUCGUGGAGGGCUGGGGAGGGUAACAAGACCUUCACCUGAGUAUCCAGCGGCCUCUUUCCACCUGCUCCAUGCAACGCUGCCCCAAGUGCAUGUGGCCUCAGGGAGGGGCUCACCUGCAUAGCCUGGGUAAGCCCAAGAAGAGGGCUGUCACUGCGUAAAGGCUUUCUGCAUUUGGCCUGUUGGGAAAGCAAGCGUACACCAUCAGAGGUCUGCUGUGAUCUACAGGCAGACACACAUGGAUUCAAACCGAAAGGUAGCUGAGAACACAGAAGUCUCUAGCUGCUGUCCCUGGAGACGGGCACAGGGCUCAGAUCUGCCUUGCCGUUGAACCCACGAUGUCUCCUCUCGUGAAACAGAUUUCAAAUGCAUCUCAAAAAACCUGGAUCAGCCCAGCAUUCAAGAGGAUAAUUAGUUUGGUAGCCAGAGCUCAUAAUGAGUGUGAAACCCUCAAAAACAAAACAAAACAAAACAAAACAAAACAGGUACAAAUUCUCCUUUUCAGUCAAAGCCAGGCCCAGGAUGCUGAUGACCUUGAGGGAUAACCUCUGCCAUUUGAGGUCUAACCUUAGACUAAAGAUAGAUACCCCUCUCUUUUUUCUCUAUCUGGCAUUUUUUCCCCAGUUAUUUUAUUUCUUCUUAUGUGUGCAUGGGGGAGGUGUGCCAAGUGCCAUGUAUGGCUCCCGUGUGGAGGUUAGAGGUCAGCUAUAUGAAGUAAGUUUACUCCUCUCACCUUUCUGUGGAUUCUAGACCAGGUCCACAGACUGGUCAGGCUUGUGUGACAAGCACCUUUACAUGACGAACCAUCCCGACAGUUCUCUGGUUUUUAGAGACAGGGUCUCACUGUGUGGCCCGGGUUAGCCUUCGGCUUGUCAUGCAGACCAGGCUUGCCUCCCCCUUGAAGCAGUCCUCCUGCCUCAGCCUCCCAAGUGCUGGGGUGGCAGGCACAUGUCACCACAGCUGACCCCCUCCCUUUCUUCUAAUGUGGAGGGUGUGUGUGUGUGCAGCCACACUCUUAAGCCCCUUCCUUAAGGAACCAUACCUUCAGGAAUGGUUCUCUCCCCAAAUAGACCUUUGUACCGAGGGCUGCCUUUAGAGAGGCCCCUUUGUGAUGGGACUUGGUGGAUGGACCAUGCCCCAUGCCCCAUGCCCCCUGCCCACUCAGCCACACACUCAGUCAGUUUCACAGCCUUGGGGAACCAGGCGUGGGCUGAGUGGGGAGGCUGAAAUGCCAGGAAUGCUGAGUACUGACAGGAGAGCUCACAGUCCUCCCGGAGGAUUGCCCGCAGCCGCACACACGAGAGCGCCUGUGCGCGAGCACAGGCUUAGCAUUUUUUUCAGUUUUCAGAACAGCAUCCUUUGGUGCUGAAGCAAUGGCUCAGGGGUUAAAAGCAUCAACUAUGCUUCCGGAGGACUGGGGUUCAAUUCCCAGCACCCACAGGGCAGCUCACACCUGUCUAUUCCUGCAGUUCCAGAGGAUGUGACCCCUCACACAGACAUAUAUGCAGGCAGAAGUCAAGAAUGCCUGACCCUCCUCCCCCCAGCAAUUGACUGGCCCUGGGCUUGUAAAUUAAAGGGGCUGCACUCUGGCUUCUUGUGUGUAUUAGCUUGGAUUCAAGGGAAGUCAUUUUUAAGAUAUAUAUAUAUUAUAAAUAUAUAUAAUUUAUUUUUAUGUUAUGUUUAUGGGUGUUUUGCCUGCAUGGAUGUCUGUGUGAGGGUGUCAGAGCACUGGAACUGGAAGUUAGUUUGUGGUUUCAGUUCGUGCUGGGAAUUGAACCCAGGUCCUCUUGAAGAGCAUCCAGUGCUCUUAACCGCUGAGACAUCCCUCCAGCCCCAAGUGAAGUCAUUUUCAAAAACUUUCUUUUCCAGCCCAGCUUGGCUUUUUAUUUGUGCCAGUAGAAGAACGAGAAAAACUGUCCUUUUUUAAAGAGAAAUCUGUAAAAAUGCCUGGAUUGAUGGGUAUGGGCUACUAGCAUUUAAUCGGAGCCUCUGAGGGCAGAAGCGGGUGGAUCUCUCCAAGUUCAAGGCCCACCUGAAUUAUGUGUAGUGAGACCUUGUCUAAAUAAGAAAGAAAAGAAUUUAAAUGUCUAGAUAAUAAGGAUUCAGAAAUGGCAGCUGGGCGGGGUGGCAUAUACCCGUAAUGCUAACACUUGAGGGGUGGAGGCAGGAGGAUCAGUUCAAAGCUGACUGGGGUUACACAAGAUCCCACCUCAAAAACAGAAGAGCAGGGCUGGAGAGGUGGCUCAAUGGUUACUGCUUUUCCAGAGGACCUGGGUUCACUACUACUAAGUCAGCCAUCUUUAACUCCAGUUCCUCGGGACCUGAUGUCCCCUGCUGGCCUCCAUGGAUAUUGCAUGCAUACGGUGCACGGACACAUGCAGAGAAAAUACCUAGGCAUAUAAAUCAAGUAAUCUUUACAACGUUUAAAAAAAAAAAACAACAACAACAGAGAAGUAACAUGAUAAUGUGAAUUUAUUUAGUGCUGGGAUACAGCCAGGGCCUGAAUUAGACUUUGUAGAAGCUGGUUGGUGUAUGAAGGUCACACGAGAGGACGCUCAGUGUCGGGCAAGUGUGGAAGUUCUGUACUGUUCUUAUUCCAUCAGCUAAGAUUUUUUUCCAAAAUAAAACGUUUAUUAAAAGCAAAA